UUCAGACCGGAGUAAUCCAGGUCGGUUUCUAUCUAUUUUACGCCCCUCCCAGUACGAAAGGACAAGAGAGACAGGGCCUCCUUAACCUAAGCGCCCUCCAGCCGAACAGAUGAUAUAAUCUUAAUCUGACGUGCAGUAAACAUACAGCCCAAGAUCAGGGCU
This 162-nucleotide ribosomal RNA is filed under the name Leptonycteris yerbabuenae (Lesser long-nosed bat). RNAcentral describes it as "partial 16S ribosomal RNA". The record is from RNAcentral. Lineage: Eukaryota; Metazoa; Chordata; Mammalia; Chiroptera; Phyllostomidae.